RNAcentral lists this ribosomal RNA (996 nucleotides) under uncultured bacterium. RNAcentral's name for it is "bacterial SSU rRNA". It matches the Rfam family "Bacterial small subunit ribosomal RNA", at positions 356 to 1376 of the family's 1533-position model. The record is from RNAcentral.
GGGGAAUAUUGCGCAAUGGGGGCAACCCUGACGCAGCAACGCCGCGUGCAGGAAGAAGGUCUUCGGAUUGUAAACUGUUGUCGCAAGGGAAGAAGACAGUGACGGUACCUUGUGAGAAAGUCACGGCUAACUACGUGCCAGCAGCCGCGGUAAUACGUAGGUGGCGAGCGUUAUCCGGAAUUAUUGGGCGUAAAGAGGGAGCAGGCGGCAGCAAGGGUCUGUGGUGAAAGGCUGAAGCUUAACUUCAGUGUGCCAGAGAAACCGGGCAGCUAGAGUGCAGGAGAGGAUCGUGGAAUUCCAUGUGUAGCGGUGAAAUGCGUAGAUAUAUGGAGGAACACCAGUGGCGAAGGCGACGAUCUGGACUGCAACUGACGCUCAGUCCCGAAAGCGUGGGGAGCAAAUAGGAUUAGAUACCCUGGUAGUCCACGCCGUAAACGAUGAGUACUAAGUGUUGGGAGUCAGAUCCCAGUGCUGCAGUUAACGCAGUAAGUACUCCGCCUGAGUAGUACGUUCGCAAGAAUGAAACUCAAAGGAAUUGACGGGGGCCCGCACAAGCGGUGGAGCAUGUGGUUUAAUUCGAAGCAACGCGAAGAACCUUACCAGGUCUUGACAUCCGGAUAAAGGCUCCAGAGAUGGAGAGAUAGAUAUAUCCGAGACAGGUGGUGCAUGGUUGUCGUCAGCUCGUGUCGUGAGAUGUUGGGUUAAGUCCCGCAACGAGCGCAACCCCUGUUGCUAGUUGCCAUCAUUAAGUUGGGGACUCUAGCGAGACUGCCGGUGACAAGCCGGAGGAAGGCGGGGAUGACGUCAAAUCAUCAUGCCCCUUAUGACCUGGGCUACACACGUGCUACAAUGGACGGAUCAGAGGGAAGCGAAGCCGCGAGGCGGAGCGAAACCCAGAAACCCGUUCUCAGUUCGGAUUGCACUCUGCAACUCGAGUGCAUGAAGAUGGAAUCGCUAGUAAUCGCGAAUCAGAAUGUCGCGGUGAAUACGUUCUCG